Molecule: ribosomal RNA, 456 nt
Filed under: uncultured bacterium
Lineage: Bacteria
Description: bacterial SSU rRNA
Rfam family: Bacterial small subunit ribosomal RNA
Source: RNAcentral
UACGGAAGGCAGCAGUGGGGAAUAUUGCACAAUGGGCGAAAGCCUGAUGCAGCUAUGCCGCGUGUAUGAAGAAGGCCUUAGGGUUGUAAAGUACUUUCAUCGGGGAGGAAAAACAAAACUAAUAAUUUUAUUUUCUUUGACGUUACCCGAAAAAGAAGCACCGGCUAACUCCGUGCCAGCAGCCGCGGUAAUACGGAGGGUGCUAGCGUUAAUCAGAAUUACUGGGCGUAAAGAGCACGUAGGUGGUUUUUUUAAGUCAGAUGUGAAAUCCCUGGGCUUAACCUAGGAACUGCAUUUUGAAACUGAAAUACUAGAGUAUCGUAGAGGGAGGUAGAAUUCUAGGUGUAGCGGUGAAAUGCGUAGAUAUCUGGAGGAAUACCGGUGGCGAAGGCGGCCCCUGGACAAGACUGACGCUCAUGUGCGAAAGCGUGGGGAGCGAAACAGGGAUUAGAUACC